AGCGAACGCUGGCGGCAGGCUUAACACAUGCAAGUCGAGCGGGCAUCCUUGUGGUGUCAGCGGCAGACGGGUGAGUAACGCGUGGGAACGUGCCCUUCGGUUCGGAAUAACUCAGGGAAACUUGAGCUAAUACCGGAUACGUGCGAGAGCAGAAAGGUUUAUCUGCCGAAGGAUCGGCCCGCGUCUGAUUAGCUAGUUGGUGAGGUUAUGGCUCACCAAGGCGACGAUCAGUAGCUGGUCUGAGAGGAUGAUCAGCCACACUGGGACUGAGACACGGCCCAGACUCCUACGGGAGGCAGCAGUGGGGAAUAUUGGACAAUGGGGGCAACCCUGAUCCAGCCAUGCCGCGUGAGUGAUGACGGCCUUAGGGUUGUAAAGCUCUUUUCUCCGGGACGAUGAUGACGGUACCGGAGGAAUAAGCCCCGGCUAACUUCGUG
This 437-nucleotide ribosomal RNA is filed under the name uncultured bacterium. RNAcentral's name for it is "partial 16S ribosomal RNA". It matches the Rfam family "Bacterial small subunit ribosomal RNA", at positions 29 to 507 of the family's 1533-position model. The record is from RNAcentral.